GCGACCCCAGUCAGGCGGGGACUACSAGCUGAGUUUAAGCAUA
RNAcentral lists this ribosomal RNA (43 nucleotides) under Senecio pinnatifolius var. capillifolius. RNAcentral's name for it is "partial 26S large subunit ribosomal RNA". The record is from RNAcentral. Lineage: Eukaryota; Viridiplantae; Streptophyta; Magnoliopsida; Asterales; Asteraceae.